RNAcentral lists this ribosomal RNA (442 nucleotides) under uncultured bacterium. Its description in RNAcentral is "bacterial SSU rRNA". It matches the Rfam family "Bacterial small subunit ribosomal RNA", at positions 29 to 507 of the family's 1533-position model. The record is from RNAcentral.
AACGAACACUGGCGGCGUGCCUUAAGCAUGCAAGUCGAGCGGUGCCAGAGAUUAUCUGGUAUAGCGGCGCACGGGUGAGUAACGCGUGGUUAGCCGACCCGAAGACGGGAAUAGCCUCAAGAAAUUGGGGGUAAUGCCCGGUAAUCCCUAAGGGGGAAAGCAGCAAUGCGCUUUGGGAGGUGACUGCGUCCCAUCAGGUAGUUGGGGGGGUAACGGCCCACCAAGCCAAUGACGGGUAGCCGGCCUGAGAGGGUGUACGGCCACACUGGAACUGAGACACGGUCCAGACUCCUACGGGAGGCAGCAGUGGGGAAUAUUGCACAAUGGACGAAAGUCUGAUGCAGCAACGCCGCGUGGAGGAUGACACAUUUCGGUGCGUAAACUCCUUUUAUAUGAGAAGAUAAUGACGGUAUUAUAUGAAUAAGCACCGGCUAACUCCGUG